Molecule: microRNA precursor, 98 nt
Filed under: Otolemur garnettii (small-eared galago)
Lineage: Eukaryota; Metazoa; Chordata; Mammalia; Primates; Galagidae
Description: miRNA (ENSOGAG00000026776.1)
Source: RNAcentral
AUGUGUAUAUAUGUGUGUGUGUGUGUGUGUGUGUGUGUGUGUGUGUGUAUGUAUAUAUACACACACAUAUAUAUCUUCAUAGAUAUAUAAAUACAUGC